UUCUGGCUCAGGAUGAACGCUAGCUACAGGCUUAACACAUGCAAGGUCGAGGGGCAGCAUAUCGAAAGCUUGCUUUGAUGAUGGCGACCGGCGCACGGGUGAGUAACGCGUAUCCAACCUUCCCUAUACUAGAGGAUAGCCCGGCGAAAGUCGGAUUAAUACUCUAUGUUCUUCGUAGAAGACAUCUGAAAUGAAGCAAAGGUUUACCGGUAUAGGAUGGGGAUGCGUCUGAUUAGGUUGUUGGCGGGUAACGGCCCACCAAGCCCACGAUCAGUAGGGGUUCUGAGAGGAAGGUCCCCCACAUUGGAACUGAGACACGGUCCAAACUCCUACGGGAGGCAGCAGUGAGGAAUAUUGGUCAAUGGACGAGAGUCUGAACCAGCCAAGUAGCGUGCAAGGAUGACGGCCCUAUGGGUUGUAAACUGCUUUUAUACAGGGAUAAAGUGCACUACGUGUAGUGUUUUGUAGGUACUGUAUGAAUAAGGACCGGCUAAUUCCGUGCCAGCAGCAGC
RNAcentral lists this ribosomal RNA (512 nucleotides) under uncultured bacterium. RNAcentral describes it as "bacterial SSU rRNA". It matches the Rfam family "Bacterial small subunit ribosomal RNA", at positions 17 to 518 of the family's 1533-position model. The record is from RNAcentral.